This 30-nucleotide non-coding RNA is filed under the name Homo sapiens (human). Lineage: Eukaryota; Metazoa; Chordata; Mammalia; Primates; Hominidae. The record is from RNAcentral.
UAACUUUGUGCCAUGAACAUGCUUGACUGU